This 692-nucleotide long non-coding RNA is filed under the name Gouania willdenowi (blunt-snouted clingfish). RNAcentral's name for it is "lncRNA (ENSGWIG00000002789.1)". The record is from RNAcentral. Lineage: Eukaryota; Metazoa; Chordata; Actinopteri; Blenniiformes; Gobiesocidae.
UGAUCUCUGACUGAGUUUGUCCCUCAGCUUAGCUUUAGCCAUGUGGUCAGGCCUGAGGUAAGGACCUAGUUUAAGCACCACUGUCUUCAUUUACUUGAACUCUACUGAAGUCUGUCUUUGUUUUCCAGUUGGUUGCUGUUGCCUUUGUUGGCUUUGGGGACAAAUCAGGUUGAGGCCUACAUUGUAGGACCUGUUCAGCAGUAUCGACAAGACCACGUUCCAGUGUAUGCCUAUCGUCCAGAGUUGCGCAGUUUUGGUGGCACCGAGUCUUCCUGGCAGUCGGAUGCAUACGAGGACCCCAGUGACUACAGCUAUGAUGAUGACGAUGAAGGUUACACAGAUGAGCCUGACCUGGACCCAAGAGGGACAAAGGUCCACCCCAAGUGCAAAUCAAAAAGCCGUAACUGCAAGCCCAAGAUGCCCACGACAACAACUACAAUGAUGCCGACCACGACGACCAAACCACCCUGCCCAGCUAAGCUGCCCCAAUGCAGGCAUAGAAUUAAGAAGCCCACCUGCCCUCACAACCGGCCUUCCUGUGUCAAAAAGCCACCCACUGAAACACAGAAGCCUGACUGUCCUCCUCAAAAACCUUGUCCUCAGGUUCCUGCACAGUACCCCUAUCCCCCAUACUGGUCUAUUUAUCCCUACCCAGGUCCUGUUAACCAUCCCCAAGCUCCCCAAUAUGCUCC